UGGAGGUGAGUCUGACCAGCCCUACAGCUAGAGUCCUACCAACUUUUCAUCUUUCUCCCCGCUGGAGGCAUGUCCAGGCUUGGCUGCACUGCAUACUCUUCCCAGCAGGCCUGGAACCACAGUCAGUCAAGAAGGGAGCAGAUUCUCACCUGGUUACAAGCAGUUAAGCCAAGUCCCAAAGGUGAGAGUGGUUACAAAGAAACAGCGACAGCAACUGAGGAGCAGCCCCAAAUAAGACAAGAUCACAGGACUGCAGCCAGGCCUCUUCAGUUCAGGGAAAUCAAAGUGUUGAUAAAGGAGAGAACAAGAUACAGAACUCAGUUCCUGCAGCAUUAUGCCUGCUUAGAUACUGUCAUGCUUCCUGCCAUCAUGAUAAUGGACUGAACAUCAGAAUCUGUAAGCAAACUCCAAUUAAAUGUCCUUUUGUGAUGAUUU
This is a long non-coding RNA of Mus musculus (house mouse), 435 nucleotides long. RefSeq annotates it as predicted gene, 52204. The record is from RefSeq and is a predicted model, not a curated record. NCBI's taxonomy places the organism in Eukaryota, Metazoa, Chordata, Mammalia, Rodentia, Muridae. The transcript is spliced from 3 exons.